Molecule: ribosomal RNA, 735 nt
Filed under: uncultured Lactarius
Lineage: Eukaryota; Fungi; Basidiomycota; Agaricomycetes; Russulales; Russulaceae
Description: eukaryotic LSU rRNA
Rfam family: 5.8S ribosomal RNA (bases 286-439)
Source: RNAcentral
CUUGGUCAUUUAGAGGAAGUAAAAGUCGUAACAAGGUUUCCGUAGGUGAACCUGCGGAAGGAUCAUUAUCGUAACAAAGACGUGGGAGGCGCUUGAAGGCUGUCGCCAACUCGAAAGGGUUGUGCACGCCGGGAGGGUGUCCUCUUGCGUGAAAUCCAUCUCACCCCUUUUGUGCACCAUCGCGUGGGCUUCCUCCUCGAGGCGGCUCGCGUUUUUUACACAAACCCCCUUUGUAAAUGUCUGUAGAAUGUCCUCAUUUUGUUUGCGUUGACACGCGAUCAAUACAACUUUCAACAACGGAUCUCUUGGCUCUCGCAUCGAUGAAGAACGCAGCGAAAUGCGAUACGUAAUGUGAAUUGCAGAAUUCAGUGAAUCAUCGAAUCUUUGAACGCACCUUGCGCCCCUUGGUAUUCCGAGGGGCACACCCGUUUGAGUGUCGUGAAAAUCUCAACCUCCUUGGUUUCUUUUGGAUGCCAAAGGAGGCUUGGACUUUGGAGGGCUUUGCUGGACUUGAAAGGUCAGCUCCUCUCAAAUGAAUUAGCGAGGUUCCCUUUGCCGAUCCUCGACGUGUGAUAAGACACUUCCACGUCUCGGUCUUUGGCUCUGUCGCCUCUUGGGACCUGCUUCCAAUCGUCUCUCGAUGAGACAACGUUCGAGCUUGCCUCGACCACGUACCCUUGACCUCAAAUCGGGUGAGACUACCCGCUGAACUUAAGCAUAUCAAUAAGCGGAGGA